UGGUCAUUACCAAAGCUUUUAGAAUGCAGUUUCGGAUUUGCUGUGGAGUUGACCAUAAAAAAAAAAAAAAAUCCCCACUGGGCUUUCUUUUUGCUACCUUGCUAGCAUCAGUCUGUUGGGAACAUUC
RNAcentral lists this small nucleolar RNA (127 nucleotides) under Dasypus novemcinctus (nine-banded armadillo). RNAcentral describes it as "Small nucleolar RNA SNORA32 (ENSDNOG00000026206.1)". It matches the Rfam family "Small nucleolar RNA SNORA32". Rfam says of the family: ACA32 is a member of the H/ACA class of snoRNA that guide the sites of modification of uridines to pseudouridines. Lineage: Eukaryota; Metazoa; Chordata; Mammalia; Cingulata; Dasypodidae. The record is from RNAcentral.